Molecule: RNase P RNA, 327 nt
Filed under: Enterobacteriaceae bacterium
Lineage: Bacteria; Pseudomonadati; Pseudomonadota; Gammaproteobacteria; Enterobacterales; Enterobacteriaceae
Description: RNase P RNA component class A
Rfam family: Bacterial RNase P class A
About the family: Ribonuclease P (RNase P) is a ubiquitous endoribonuclease, found in archaea, bacteria and eukarya as well as chloroplasts and mitochondria. Its best characterised activity is the generation of mature 5'-ends of tRNAs by cleaving the 5'-leader elements of precursor-tRNAs. Cellular RNase Ps are ribonucleoproteins.
Source: RNAcentral
CGAGCAAAUUUAAUAAUUACUUUAACAUAUAAAGAGGAAAGUCCGAACUCCUGAAAAAAGAUGCAAGAUAACAUCUUGAAAAUUUAAAUUUAUAGAAAGUAUAACAGAAAAUAUACAACUAAUUGAAAUGGUGAAAAAGUAUGGUAAAAGCAUACUUUGUUAUUUGAAAAAAUAGCAAUAGAUAAACCUCAUCUGGAGCAAGAUUAAAUAAAAUAUAUAAUAUAUUUUCAUAUUAAUUUGGGUAGAUCGCUAAAGAAAUAUGGUAACAUAAAUUCAUAGAUUAAUGAUUAUCUUCUACAAAAUUCGGCUUAUAAAUUUGCUCAUUUA